RNAcentral lists this long non-coding RNA (814 nucleotides) under Prunus persica (peach). RNAcentral's name for it is "long non-coding RNA (PPER_LNC006987)". Lineage: Eukaryota; Viridiplantae; Streptophyta; Magnoliopsida; Rosales; Rosaceae. The record is from RNAcentral.
UUCAAACAUCCCCAAGCCUCGUCGGGCAAAAGUCAAGCAUACUGACUUAACUGAAGACAAUACUUAAUACACUUGGUCCAUUCGAUUCCCAUAAUCUCCUUGCCAAGCAGUUGGGCAAUUCUUCCAUUGGCAGUGUAUACAAUCGAUGCUUCCAAUCAUUCCUGGGAAACCUCGAGCCUCGGUUUUUUGUACAAGCCUUCAGAGGUCUCUAGUCGUAAGAUUGUGAAGGUACUCCCUCUUGUAGAGAUUUUCUACUGCAUCAUAGAAUCUCACCAAGCACUCUAGGAUAGUUGAUUUUUCCAUCCGCGCAAUCUCAUCCACCUACUCUGCAGAUGCCCCAUAAGCAAGCAUCCGUAAAGCAGUUGUAAGUUUUUGCUCUAGAAGAAGACCCAAAACCCCAACAGCAUCAUACUUCUGAACGAAGUAUGUGUCACAAUUGCAAAUAUCAUGCAUGAUUUUUUGAAACAAAUAAGGCUGGAUUCUAUAUCUAUCUCAAAAAUAAGACACAUGAUAUAACGAAUUUAGGAUAAAGUUAUCUUCCAAGAGAUUCUUACCCCGAGGCUGCCUAUGUCUGUCCACGUUCGGGCCACGACGACUGUGGUGUUGCCUUGAUUCAUUGAGCAUACACACUGCUACAACCAUUUCUUCCUCCUCUUCAUCGACCUCACGAUCUUUUUCAGCACGCUGCGCCUGAUUUCUUCCUCUUCUCGCUCUUGCCUCUCCAACACCCUCAUCAUGUUGGACAUUGAGAGUAGAAUGUGUUUUGUAAAAUUUGAGAAAUGAAAGAAUAGAGAAGAUAUGGUGUGAGAGAUAG